This 506-nucleotide ribosomal RNA is filed under the name uncultured bacterium. RNAcentral's name for it is "partial 16S ribosomal RNA". It matches the Rfam family "Bacterial small subunit ribosomal RNA", at positions 29 to 523 of the family's 1533-position model. The record is from RNAcentral.
AGUGAACGCUGGCGGCAGGCCUAACACAUGCAAGUCGAACGGCAGCACAGCAGUAGCAAUACUGUGGGUGGCGAGUGGCGGACGGGUGAGGAAUACAUCGGAAUCUGCCUUAUCGUGGGGGAUAACGUAGGGAAACUUACGCUAAUACCGCAUACGACCUACGGGUGAAAGCGGAGGACCUUCGGGCUUCGCGCGAUAAGAUGAGCCGAUGUCGGAUUAGCUAGUUGGCGGGGUAAAGGCCCACCAAGGCGACGAUCCGUAGCUGGUCUGAGAGGAUGAUCAGCAACACUGGAACUGAGACACGGUCCAGACUCCUACGGGAGGCAGCAGUGGGGAAUAUUGGACAAUGGGCGCAAGCCUGAUCCAGCCAUGCCGCGUGGGUGAAGAAGGCCUUCGGGUUGUAAAGCCCUUUUGUCCGGAAAGAAAAGCACUGGGUUAAUACCCUGGUGUUCUGACGGUACCGGAAGAAUAAGCACCGGCUAACUUCGUGCCAGCAGCCGCCGUAA